Long non-coding RNA from Fukomys damarensis (Damara mole-rat), 722 nucleotides. RefSeq lists it as uncharacterized. The transcript has 4 exons. The record is from RefSeq and is a predicted model, not a curated record. Lineage: Eukaryota; Metazoa; Chordata; Mammalia; Rodentia; Bathyergidae.
AAUAUUUAACUUCCAAAACUGCUCCACAGCACACAGGUGUAAUCGCUCAUGGAAGUGAAGUUUGCUCAAGAAAAAGAAGCAUUUGGGGCUUGCGUUUGUGAGUAAAGAGGACACUGGAGAGGCAGGUCGCACCUGCAGGACCUGCCAUGCCCCUGUCCGGCUCCAACCUUCAUUCCCCGUGGGGAUUUCUCAGGACCAGAUUGUACAAGAGUGGAACCGAAUGACCGCGCCUGCCCUCGAGCCCGGCAAGGCCCUGUCCUGGGUGCACCGGAACUUCCGGGAGGCUGCUGCACUUUUCCUGCUGCUUGUUUGCCCCGGAGCCCAAGGGGAGGAGGGCAGCAUUUUUCUACUUACGAGACGUGUACAGCGAUUCUUCUAAGGUCUGAUGUCUUCCACAUUGCCGGGUUUUGAUCAUUAGACCACCCCACCUAAGGUGACAGAGCUGGCAAGGGACACCAACUCCUGAGCACACUUUUUGAAUGCAAACCAGGGAUGGGGACAAUUCCCUCCAGAGUCUUCAAAUGAGCCAACCCUGAGCCUGCUCUGCACACCCCAUCCAUUCCUUCCUGCAGAUGCCACAGUCAAGUCUGGCUGGUGUCCUCGCUGUGCCCCGUGGCCCCUUGAUUGACUCUCAUGUCCCCCACAUGGCCCGGCCUUCCUCCUUUUGGGAACUAUAGUAUCCCCAGCUGUCCUUUGAUAAGUCAUCUGGUCUCUCAAUGUCA